RNAcentral lists this ribosomal RNA (468 nucleotides) under uncultured bacterium. RNAcentral's name for it is "partial 16S ribosomal RNA". It matches the Rfam family "Bacterial small subunit ribosomal RNA", at positions 28 to 507 of the family's 1533-position model. The record is from RNAcentral.
GACGAACGCUGGCGGCGUGCCUAACACAUGCAAGUCGAACGGAAAGGCCCUGCUCUUGUGGCGUGCUCGUGUGGCGAACGGGUGUGUAUCACGUGAGUAACCUCCCCUUGACUUUGGGAUAACUUCAGGAAACUGGGGCUAUUACCGGAUAUGAUCUCCUGCUGCAUGGUGUUGGUUGGAAAGUUUCGGCGGUUCGGGCUGGACUCGCGGCUUAUCAGCUUGUUGGUGGGGUAGUGGCUUACCAAGGCUUUGACGGGUAGCCGGCCUGAGAGGGUGACCGGGCACAAUGGGACUGAGAUAGGGCCCAGACUCGUACGGGAGGCAGCAGGGGGGAAUAUUGCAGAAUGGGCGGAAGCGUGAGGCAGCAGCGCCGCGUGCGGGAUGACGGCCUUCGGGUUGUAAACCGCUUUCGAAUGUGAAGAAGAGGGAGUGACGGUAAUGGGUAAAGAAGCAACGGCUAACUACGUG